RNAcentral lists this long non-coding RNA (665 nucleotides) under Drosophila melanogaster (fruit fly). RNAcentral's name for it is "long non-coding RNA:CR43280 (Dmel_CR43280)". Lineage: Eukaryota; Metazoa; Arthropoda; Insecta; Diptera; Drosophilidae. The record is from RNAcentral.
CUAUAUAAGUACUAAACAAGACUUAAAAUUCCUCACCCGACUAUUCUUGUACUUGAAGAAAAUCAAUUUACCAUCCUACAACUCCCUAUGACCGCAAGAACAAUCGGUUAACAUUUUGUGAACCGCAUGCCAGGAAUUUUUAUAGAGUAAAGGAGUGUCUGUUGAAUCCUUUUUACCCUCCGACAAAUCAAUUCCACAAAUCAACAUAAUCAACUUCUCGCCAAUAAAAUGGGUUUGGAGCAGUGCUGAAUAAGAGAGAAAGCUGAAAUAAGUGCCGUAAAAAAUGUAAAAACUUUUUUAUAGUUGCUGCAUAAAAAACGUAAAAUAAAAACCCAACCGAAGAAAUCUACGAAAGAAUGCAUAACAAAAGAAAAUCACCUUCGUGGGCGUGCAGGUAUACGUAUAAAACUGAAGUGCGGCGGGGCAUGUGCAGCACACGAACAACGAAAAAGACGGCAGGAAAAAAUUACAAGGAAGCAGCACCCAGAAGAGCGAGUUUCAAGACGAGAGUGAUGAAAGGAUACCCUAUUCUUAAGGAUAAUAAUUAUGAAGGAAUGCCUUAAUAUGCUUACUCUAGAUUAUCCUUAUCAAUACAGUUUAGCUACUAUCAAGAGUUCGCUCUAAUUGGUAAAUGGAUAAAAACAAAUGGUAUAUUUGGCAAACAC